UCAAGUGAAGAAGCGCAUACGGUGGAUGCCUUGGCAGUCAGAGGCGAUGAAAGACGUGGUAGCCUGCGAAAAGCUUCGGGGAGUCGGCAAACAGACUGUGAUCCGGAGAUGUCUGAAUGGGGGAACCCAGCCAUCAUAAGAUGGUUAUCUUACACUGAAUACAUAGGUGUAAGAGGCGAACCAGGGGAACUGAAACAUCUAAGUACCCUGAGGAAAAGAAAUCAACCGAGAUUCCCUUAGUAGUGGCGAGCGAACGGGGACCAGCCCUUAAGUUGUAUUGAGAUUAGCGGAACGCUCUGGAAAGUGCGGCCAUAGUGGGUGAUAGCCCUGUACGCGAAAAUCCCUUUGCAAUGAAAUCGAGUAGGACGGGGCACGAGAAACCUUGUCUGAAUAUGGGGGGACCAUCCUCCAAGGCUAAAUACUACUGACUGACCGAUAGUGAACCAGUACCGUGAGGGAAAGGCGAAAAGAACCGCGGAGAGCGGAGUGAAAUAGAUCCUGAAACCGUAUGCGUACAAGCAGUGGGAGCCCACUUUGUUGGGUGACUGCGUACCUUUUGUAUAAUGGGUCAGCGACUUAUUUUCAGUGGCGAGCUUAACCGAAUAGGGGAGGCGUAGCGAAAGCGAGUCUUAAUAGGGCGUCUAGUCGCUGGGAAUAGACCCGAAACCGGGCGAUCUAUCCAUGGGCAGGUUGAAGGUUGGGUAACACUAACUGGAGGACCGAACCGACUACCGUUGAAAAGUUAGCGGAUGACCUGUGGAUCGGAGUGAAAGGCUAAUCAAGCUCGGAGAUAGCUGGUUCUCCUCGAAAGCUAUUUAGGUAGCGCCUCAUGUAUCACUGUAGGGGGUAGAGCACUGUUUCGGCUAGGGGGUCAUCCCGACUUACCAAACCGAUGCAAACUCCGAAUACCUACAAGUGCCGAGCAUGGGAGACACACGGCGGGUGCUAACGUCCGUCGUGAAAAGGGAAACAACCCAGACCGUCAGCUAAGGUCCCAAAGUCAUGGUUAAGUGGGAAACGAUGUGGGAAGGCUUAGACAGCUAGGAGGUUGGCUUAGAAGCAGCCACCCUUUAAAGAAAGCGUAAUAGCUCACUAGUCGAGUCGGCCUGCGCGGAAGAUGUAACGGGGCUCAAACCAUGCACCGAAGCUACGGGUAUCAUCUUAUGAUGAUGCGGUAGAGGAGCGUUCUGUAAGCCUGUGAAGGUGAGUUGAGAAGCUUGCUGGAGGUAUCAGAAGUGCGAAUGCUGACAUGAGUAACGACAAUGGGUGUGAAAAACACCCACGCCGAAAGACCAAGGUUUCCUGCGCAACGUUAAUCGACGCAGGGUUAGUCGGUCCCUAAGGCGAGGCUGAAAAGCGUAGUCGAUGGAAAACAGGUUAAUAUUCCUGUACUUCUGGUUAUUGCGAUGGAGGGACGGAGAAGGCUAGGCCAGCCUGGCGUUGGUAGUCCAGGUUUAAGGUGGUAGGCUGAGAUCUUAGGUAAAUCCGGGAUCUUAAGGCCGAGAGCUGAUGACGAGUGUUCUUUUAGAACAUGAAGUGGUUGAUGCCAUGCUUCCAAGAAAAGCUUCUAAGCUUCAGGUAACCAGGAACCGUACCCCAAACCGACACAGGUGGUUGGGUAGAGAAUACCAAGGCGCUUGAGAGAACUCGGGUGAAGGAACUAGGCAAAAUGGCACCGUAACUUCGGGAGAAGGUGCGCCGGUGAGGGUGAAGCAUUUACUGCGUAAGCCCACGCCGGUCGAAGAUACCAGGCCGCUGCGACUGUUUAUUAAAAACACAGCACUCUGCAAACACGAAAGUGGACGUAUAGGGUGUGACGCCUGCCCGGUGCCGGAAGGUUAAUUGAUGGGGUUAGCGCAAGCGAAGCUCUUGAUCGAAGCCCCGGUAAACGGCGGCCGUAACUAUAACGGUCCUAAGGUAGCGAAAUUCCUUGUCGGGUAAGUUCCGACCUGCACGAAUGGCGUAACGAUGGCGGCGCUGUCUCCACCCGAGACUCAGUGAAAUUGAAAUCGCUGUGAAGAUGCAGUGUAUCCGCGGCUAGACGGAAAGACCCCGUGAACCUUUACUAUAGCUUUGCACUGGACUUUGAAUUUGCUUGUGUAGGAUAGGUGGGAGGCUUUGAAGCGUGGACGCCAGUCUGCGUGGAGCCAACCUUGAAAUACCACCCUGGCAACUUUGAGGUUCUAACUCAGGUCCGUUAUCCGGAUCGAGGACAGUGUAUGGUGGGUAGUUUGACUGGGGCGGUCUCCUCCUAAAGAGUAACGGAGGAGUACGAAGGUGCGCUCAGACCGGUCGGAAAUCGGUCGUAGAGUAUAAAGGCAAAAGCGCGCUUGACUGCGAGACAGACACGUCGAGCAGGUACGAAAGUAGGUCUUAGUGAUCCGGUGGUUCUGUAUGGAAGGGCCAUCGCUCAACGGAUAAAAGGUACUCCGGGGAUAACAGGCUGAUACCGCCCAAGAGUUCAUAUCGACGGCGGUGUUUGGCACCUCGAUGUCGGCUCAUCACAUCCUGGGGCUGAAGCCGGUCCCAAGGGUAUGGCUGUUCGCCAUUUAAAGUGGUACGCGAGCUGGGUUUAGAACGUCGUGAGACAGUUCGGUCCCUAUCUGCCGUGGACGUUUGAGAUUUGAGAGGGGCUGCUCCUAGUACGAGAGGACCGGAGUGGACGAACCUCUGGUGUUCCGGUUGUCACGCCAGUGGCAUUGCCGGGUAGCUAUGUUCGGAAAAGAUAACCGCUGAAAGCAUCUAAGCGGGAAACUUGCCUCAAGAUGAGAUCUCACUGGAACCUUGAGUUCCCUGAAGGGCCGUCGAAGACUACGACGUUGAUAGGUUGGGUGUGUAAGCGCUGUGAGGCGUUGAGCUAACCAAUACUAAUUGCCCGUGAGGCUUGACCAU
Molecule: ribosomal RNA, 2892 nt
Filed under: Pseudomonas syringae pv. delphinii
Lineage: Bacteria; Pseudomonadati; Pseudomonadota; Gammaproteobacteria; Pseudomonadales; Pseudomonadaceae
Also listed under: 4 other names
Description: bacterial LSU rRNA
Rfam family: Bacterial large subunit ribosomal RNA
Source: RNAcentral